RNAcentral lists this ribosomal RNA (490 nucleotides) under uncultured bacterium. RNAcentral's name for it is "partial 16S ribosomal RNA". It matches the Rfam family "Bacterial small subunit ribosomal RNA", at positions 30 to 507 of the family's 1533-position model. The record is from RNAcentral.
AUUGAACGCUGGCGGCAGGCCUAACACAUGCAAGUCGAACGGUAACAGGAAGCAGCUUGCUGCUUCGCUGACGAGUGGCGGACGGGUGAGUAAUGUCUGGGAAACUGCCUGAUGGAGGGGGAUAACUACUGGAAACGGUAGCUAAUACCGCAUAACGUCGCAAGACCAAAGAGGGGGACCUUAGGGCCUCUUGCCAUCGGAUGUGCCCAGAUGGGAUUAGCUAGUAGGUGGGGUAACGGCUCACCUAGGCGACGAUCCCUAGCUGGUCUGAGAGGAUGACCAGCCACACUGGAACUGAGACACGGUCCAGGCUCCUACGGGAGGCAGCAGUGGGGAAUAUUGCACAAUGGGCGCAAGCCUGAUGCAGCCAUGCCGCGUGUAUGAAGAAGGCCUUCGGGUUGUAAAGUACUUUCAGCGGGGAGGAAGGGAGUAAAGUUAAUACCUUUGCUCAUUGACGUUACCCGCAGAAGAAGCGCCGGCUAACUCCGUG